Molecule: ribosomal RNA, 490 nt
Filed under: uncultured bacterium
Lineage: Bacteria
Description: partial 16S ribosomal RNA
Rfam family: Bacterial small subunit ribosomal RNA
Source: RNAcentral
GAUGAACGCUAGCUACAGGCUUAACACAUGCAAGUCGCGGGGCAGCAUGGGGGUUGCUUGCAAUCCCCGAUGGCGACCGGCGCACGGGUGAGUAACGCGUAUCCAACCUGCCCUUCACCACGGGAUAACCCGGCGAAAGUCGGACUAAUACCGUAUGUUGUCCAUUGACGGCAUCCGAUUUGGACGAAAGGUUUGGCGGUGAAGGAUGGGGAUGCGUCCGAUUAGCUGGACGGCGGGGUGACGGCCCACCGUGGCGACGAUCGGUAGGGGUUCUGAGAGGAAGGUCCCCCACACUGGAACUGAGACACGGUCCAGACUCCUACGGGGGGCAGCAGUGAGGAAUAUUGGUCAAUGGGCGUAAGCCUGAACCAGCCAAGUAGCGUGCAGGAUGACGGCCCUAUGGGUUGUAAACUGCUUUUAUGCGGGGAUAAAGUGGCCCACGUGUGGGUUUUUGCAGGUACCGCAUGAAUAAGGACCGGCUAAUUCCGUG